AGAGACAGCAGUCGCCACGGUAAUACGAAGGGUGCAAGCGUUACUCGGAAUUACUGGGCGUAAAGCGUGCGUAGGUGGUGGUUUAAGUCCGUUGUGAAAGCCCUGGGCUCAACCUGGGAAUUGCAGUGGAUACUGGGUCACUAGAGUGUGGUAGAGGAUAGUGGAAUUUCCGGUGUAGCAGUGAAAUGCGUAGAGAUCGGAAGGAACAUCUGUGGCGAAGGCGACUAUCUGGGCCAACACUGACACUGAGGCACGAAAGCGUGGGGAGCAAACAGGAUUAGAGACCCCCGUAGUCCCUGUCUCUUAUAC
RNAcentral lists this ribosomal RNA (309 nucleotides) under uncultured bacterium. RNAcentral describes it as "partial 16S ribosomal RNA". It matches the Rfam family "Bacterial small subunit ribosomal RNA", at positions 504 to 807 of the family's 1533-position model. The record is from RNAcentral.